GUGGGAGGGGGCUUGCCCCCGAUGGCAGUGUGUCAGCCAACUAAUAGCCAACUGAAGCACCGCUAUCGGGGGCAAGCCCCCUCCCAC
RNAcentral lists this unclassified non-coding RNA (87 nucleotides) under Pseudomonas azotoformans. The record is from RNAcentral. Lineage: Bacteria; Pseudomonadati; Pseudomonadota; Gammaproteobacteria; Pseudomonadales; Pseudomonadaceae.